RNAcentral lists this ribosomal RNA (324 nucleotides) under uncultured eukaryote. RNAcentral's name for it is "partial 18S ribosomal RNA". It matches the Rfam family "Eukaryotic small subunit ribosomal RNA", at positions 1470 to 1796 of the family's 1831-position model. The record is from RNAcentral.
CCCUUAGAUGUUCUGGGCCGCACGCGCGCUACACUGACGAAUGCAACGAGCUUAUAACCUUGGCCGAAAGGUCUGGGUAAUCUCCAAAUUUCGUCGUGAUGGGGAUAGAUUAUUGCAAUUAUUAAUCUUCAACGAGGAAUGCCUAGUAAGCGCAAGUCAUCAGCUUGCGUUGAUUACGUCCCUGCCCUUUGUACACACCACCCGUCGCUCCUACCGAUUGAGUGAUCCGGUGAAUAAUUCGGACUGCAGCACUGCUUGGUCUCCAGGCUUUGCAGCGGAAAGUUUAGUGAACCUUAUCACUUAGAGGAAGGAGAAGUCGUANCA